Molecule: ribosomal RNA, 877 nt
Filed under: uncultured Flavobacterium sp.
Lineage: Bacteria; Pseudomonadati; Bacteroidota; Flavobacteriia; Flavobacteriales; Flavobacteriaceae
Description: bacterial SSU rRNA
Rfam family: Bacterial small subunit ribosomal RNA
Source: RNAcentral
UGGCUAGCGGCAGGCUAACACAUGCAAGUCGAGGGGUAGAGGAAGCUUGCUUCCUUGAGACCGGCGCACGGGUGCGUAACGCGUAUGCAAUCUGCCUUGUACUGAGGGAUAGCCCAGAGAAAUUUGGAUUAAUACCUCAUAGCAUUAUGAAAUCGCAUGGUUUUAUAAUUAAAGUUCCAACGGUACAAGAUGAGCAUGCGUCCCAUUAGUUAGUUGGUAAGGUAACGGCUUACCAAGACGAUGAUGGGUAGGGGUCCUGAGAGGGAGAUCCCCCACACUGGUACUGAGACACGGACCAGACUCCUACGGGAGGCAGCAGUGAGGAAUAUUGGUCAAUGGACGCAAGUCUGAACCAGCCAUGCCGCGUGCAGGAUGAAGCAUCUAUGGUGUGUAAACUGCUUUUGUACGGGAAGAAACACUCCUACGUGUAGGAGCUUGACGGUACCGUAAGAAUAAGGAUCGGCUAACUCCGUGCCAGCAGCCGCGGUAAUACGGAGGAUCCAAGCGUUAUCCGGAAUCAUUGGGUUUAAAGGGUCCGUAGGCGGCUUUAUAAGUCAGUGGUGAAAGCCCAUCGCUUAACGAUGGAACGGCCAUUGAUACUGUAGAGCUUGAAUUACUCGGAAGUAACUAGAAUAUGUAGUGUAGCGGUGAAAUGCUUAGAUAUUACAUGGAAUACCAAUUGCGAAGGCAGGUUACUACAAGUGGAUUGACGCUGAUGGACGAAAGCGUGGGGAGCGAACAGGAUUAGAUACCCUGGUAGUCCACGCCGUAACGAUGGAUACUAGCUGUUCGGAGCAAUCUGAGUGGCUAAGCGAAAGUGAUAAGUAUCCCACCUGGGGAGUACGCACGCAAGUGUGAAACUCAAAUGAAUUGACGG